CUUAAAAUCCGUCGACUUUAUAAGUCGUGAGGGUUCAAGUCCCUCUAUCCCCA
RNAcentral lists this transfer RNA (53 nucleotides) under Festuca ovina subsp. guestfalica. The record is from RNAcentral. RNAcentral also lists the same sequence under 3 other names. Lineage: Eukaryota; Viridiplantae; Streptophyta; Magnoliopsida; Poales; Poaceae.